RNAcentral lists this small RNA (638 nucleotides) under Pan troglodytes (chimpanzee). RNAcentral's name for it is "retained intron". Lineage: Eukaryota; Metazoa; Chordata; Mammalia; Primates; Hominidae. The record is from RNAcentral.
UGCCUGGUACAGAUCUGUGAGAAGUACCUGCCCGGCUACUACAGCGAGAAACUGGAGGCGAUCCAGCUGGACGGGGAGAUCCUUUUCUCGCUGUUGCAGAAGGUGUCACCGGUGGCCCACAAGCACCUCAGCCGUCAGAAGAUCGACCCGCUCCUCUAUAUGACAGAAUGGUUCAUGUGCGCCUUCUCCCGAACCUUGCCCUGGAGCUCUGUGCUGCGUGUCUGGGACAUGUUCUUCUGUGAAGGGGUCAAGAUCAUCUUCCGGGUGGGGCUGGUGCUGCUGAAGCACGCGCUGGGCUCCCCUGAGAAGGUCAAAGCCUGCCAGGGCCAGUACGAGACCAUCGAGCGACUGCGGAGCCUCAGCCCCAAGAUCAUGCAGGAGGCCUUUCUGGUCCAGGAGGUAUAGCCCAUGCCUGCCCCUUAUCAUGGGGAGGGAGGAAGACUGGUGGGGGUCCUUUGAAGGGGGUCCCGCUAACCCUCAGCCCCUGAGGGUGGAUCCUAUGCCAGGACCAUUGCUAGGCAACACAGAACAUGUGGGUGGACCUCAUCCUUCUGUCUGGUGAAGAGCAGGCUUGGCUCUGCAGGGCCUUCUGGAUCCGAGCCGCUUGGGAAUGAAGAAGAAUGUUGACACACAGCCCC